RNAcentral lists this ribosomal RNA (279 nucleotides) under uncultured prokaryote. RNAcentral describes it as "partial 16S ribosomal RNA". It matches the Rfam family "Bacterial small subunit ribosomal RNA", at positions 524 to 803 of the family's 1533-position model. The record is from RNAcentral.
UACGUAGGGGCUAGCGUUAUCCGGAAUUAUUGGGCGUAAAGAGUACGUAGGUGGUUUUGUAAGCGUGGGGUGAAAGACCGAAGCUUAACUUCGGUUAGCCUUGCGAACUGCAGACUUGAGUGCAGGAGAGGAAAGUGGAAUUCCUAGUGUAGCGGUGAAAUGCGUAGAGAUAUGGAGGAACACCAGUGGCGAAGGCGGCUUCCUGGUCUGUAACUGACACUGAGGCGCGAAAGCGUGGGGAGCAAACAGGAUUAGAUACCCUGGUAGUCCCUGAGCGGG